CCUACGGGGGGCAGCAGUGGGGAAUAUUGGACAAUGGGGGCAACCCUGAUCCAGCCAAGCCGCGUGUGUGAAGAAGGCCCUCGGGUUGUAAAGCACUUUCAGUGAGGAAGAACGCCUGGUGGUUAAUACCCAUCAGGAAAGACAUCACUCACAGAAGAAGCACCGACUAACUCCGUGCCAGCAGCCGCGGUAAUACGGAGGGUGCGAGCGUUAAUCGGAAUUACUGGGCGUAAAGCGCGCGUAGGUGGCUUGAUAAGCCGGUUGUGAAAGCCCCGGGCUCAACCUGGGAACGGCAUCCGGAACUGUCAAGCUAGAGUGCAGGAGAGGAAGGUAGAAUUCCCGGUGUAGCGGUGAAAUGCGUAGAGAUCGGGAGGAAUACCAGUGGCGAAGGCGGCCUUCUGGACUGACACUGACACUGAGGUGCGAAAGCGUGGGUAGCAAACAGGAUUAGAUACCCUAGUAGUC
Molecule: ribosomal RNA, 465 nt
Filed under: Vreelandella stevensii
Lineage: Bacteria; Pseudomonadati; Pseudomonadota; Gammaproteobacteria; Oceanospirillales; Halomonadaceae
Description: partial 16S ribosomal RNA
Rfam family: Bacterial small subunit ribosomal RNA
Source: RNAcentral